This 785-nucleotide ribosomal RNA is filed under the name uncultured bacterium. RNAcentral's name for it is "bacterial SSU rRNA". It matches the Rfam family "Bacterial small subunit ribosomal RNA", at positions 561 to 1345 of the family's 1533-position model. The record is from RNAcentral.
UAAAGAGCUUGUAGGCGGCUUGUCGCGUCUGCUGUGAAAGCCCGGGGCUUAACCCCGGGUCUGCAGUGGGUACGGGCAGGCUAGAGUGUGGUAGGGGAGACUGGAAUUCCUGGUGUAGCGGUGGAAUGCGCAGAUAUCAGGAGGAACACCGAUGGCGAAGGCAGGUCUCUGGGCCAUUACUGACGCUGAGAAGCGAAAGCGUGGGGAGCGAACAGGAUUAGAUACCCUGGUAGUCCACGCCGUAAACGUUGGGCGCUAGGUGUGGGUCCCAUUCCACGGGGUCCGUGCCGCAGCUAACGCAUUAAGCGCCCCGCCUGGGGAGUACGGCCGCAAGGCUAAAACUCAAAGGAAUUGACGGGGGCCCGCACAAGCGGCGGAGCAUGCGGAUUAAUUCGAUGCAACGCGAAGAACCUUACCAAGGCUUGACAUGCACCGGACGACUGCAGAGAUGUGGUUUCCCUUUGUGGCUGGUGCACAGGUGGUGCAUGGUUGUCGUCAGCUCGUGUCGUGAGAUGUUGGGUUAAGUCCCGCAACGAGCGCAACCCUCGUUCUAUGUUGCCAGCGGUUCGGCCGGGGACUCAUAGGAGACUGCCGGGGUCAACUCGGAGGAAGGUGGGGAUGACGUCAAAUCAUCAUGCCCCUUACGUCUUGGGCUUCACGCAUGCUACAAUGGCCGGUACAAAGGGCUGCGAUCCCGUGAGGGGGAGCGAAUCCCAGAAAGCCGGUCUCAGUUCGGAUUGGGGUCUGCAACUCGACCCCAUGAAGUCGGAGUCGCUAGUAAUCGC